This 308-nucleotide long non-coding RNA is filed under the name Gossypium barbadense (sea-island cotton). Its description in RNAcentral is "long non-coding RNA (GBAR_LNC021084)". Lineage: Eukaryota; Viridiplantae; Streptophyta; Magnoliopsida; Malvales; Malvaceae. The record is from RNAcentral.
UUCUCCAUCUUGGACAUUGAGAAAAUAGAAGGCGGUAACCGAUAUUUCCCAUUCGGAAGUGGAUUGGGAUGAAGAUCAGGCCGAAUUCCCAUUUGGACUAAAUCAAGUCGACUCUGAAGAUUGUCUUUUGAUUUUUCGUCGACGUUCAAAAUUGUACCCACAAUGUUCUCGCAGACAUUUUUCUCAAUCUGCAUAACAUCAAGAUUGUGUCGUAAAAGGUGAUGCUCCCAAUAAGGCAACUCAAAAAAAAUACUUCUUUUUUUCCACAAGUCCGCCUCAUUAGGAUCAUCCUCUUCGUCGGAGCUUUC